This is a small nuclear RNA of Capra hircus (goat), 99 nucleotides long. NCBI's taxonomy places the organism in Eukaryota, Metazoa, Chordata, Mammalia, Artiodactyla, Bovidae. The record is from Ensembl.
AUGCUCACUUUGGCGGCACUUGUGCUAACAUUGGAAUGACCAUUAACAUGGCCCCUGUGCAAGGAUAGCAUGAGAACUCUUGAAGCAGCCUGUAUGUUU